CCAGGCUGUCGACCUGCAGCGCCUCCUCUGGUUUCAGCACGUCGGCCGCGUUUUCCUGCGUGAGCACCCAGCUCUGCCGGACGGUGAAGCGGAGUCGGGUGGAGUUGUGGCUGACCUCCAGGCAGCAGGGGGCGCUGGGCUUGACUGACGGUGGAAACAGAGCGGGUUUAACCUGAGCUGUCACAGUAAACAGAGUGAAACCUGCGGCCGGGUCUCCUAGCAACCAGGUGGAGCGGAGGAGAGUCAGGAUCAGCAGCUUCAUCCUGAGAGGAG
Molecule: non-coding RNA, 273 nt
Organism: Poecilia reticulata (guppy)
Lineage: Eukaryota; Metazoa; Chordata; Actinopteri; Cyprinodontiformes; Poeciliidae
Source: RefSeq, a predicted model, not a curated record